AAAGUCGUAACAAGGUUUCCGUAGGUGAACCUGCGGAAGGAUCAUUACCGUGGGGGUGAUUCCCCAUCGAGAUAGCACCCUUUGUCUAUGAGUACCUCUUGUUUCCCCGGCGGGUGAUUCCGCCAACGGGGACCCCAUAAACCCUUUGCAGUUGCAGUCAACCUCUGAUACAACCAAUCAUUAAAACUUUCAACAACGGAUCUCUUGGCUCUG
This 213-nucleotide unclassified non-coding RNA is filed under the name Ascomycota sp. RNAcentral describes it as "partial contains small subunit ribosomal RNA, internal transcribed spacer 1, and 5.8S ribosomal RNA". The stretch from base 1 to 47 matches the Rfam family "Eukaryotic small subunit ribosomal RNA", at positions 1785 to 1831 of the family's 1831-position model. Lineage: Eukaryota; Fungi; Ascomycota. The record is from RNAcentral.